This 868-nucleotide ribosomal RNA is filed under the name uncultured archaeon. Its description in RNAcentral is "bacterial SSU rRNA". It matches the Rfam family "Archaeal small subunit ribosomal RNA", at positions 1 to 878 of the family's 1478-position model. The record is from RNAcentral.
CUCCGGUUGAUCCUGCCGGACCCGACUGCUAUCAGAGUGAGAUUAAGCCAUGCGAGUUAACGUAGCAAUACGUGGCGCACGGCUCAGUAACACGUAGUCAACAUGCCCAGAGGACGUGGAUAACCUCGGGAAACUGAGUCUAAACCGCGAUAAGUGAGGAUUUCUGGAAUGGUUCCUGACCAAAAUCUAUAUGGCCUCUGGAUUGGACUGCGGCCGAUCAGGCUGUUGGUGAGGUAAUGGCCCACCAAACCUGUAACCGGUACGGGCUCUGAGAGGAGGAGCCCGGAGAUGGGCACUGAGACAAGGGCCCAGGCCCUAUGGGGCGCAGCAGGCGCGAAACCUCUGCAAUAGGCGAAAGCCUGACAGGGUUACUCUGAGUGACUUUCGCUAAGAAAGUCUUUUGGCACCUCUAAAAAGGGUGCAGAAUAAGGGGUGGGCAAGUCUGGUGUCAGCCGCCGCGGUAAUACCAGCACCCCGAGUGGUCGGGACGAUUAUUGGGCCUAAAGCAUCCGUAGCCGGUUCUGCAAGUCCCCCGUUAAAUCCAGCUGCUCAACAGAUGGGCCGCGGAGGAUACUACAGAGCUAGGAGGCAGGAGAGGCAAGCGGUACUCAGUGGGUAGGGGUAAAAUCCGUUGAUCCAUUGAAGACCACCAGUGGCGAAGGCGGCUUGCCAGAAUGCGCUCGACGGUGAGGGAUGAAAGCUGGGGGAGCAAACCGGAUUAGAUACCCGGGUAGUCCCAGCCGUAAACGAUGCAGACUCGGUGAUGGGUUGGCUUCGCGCUAACCCAGUGCCGCAGGGAAGCCGUUAAGUCUGCCGCCUGGGUAGUACGGUCGCAAGACUGAAACUUAAAGGAAUUGGCGGGGGAGCA